UACGUAGGGUGCGAGCGUUAAUCGGAAUUACUGGGCGUAAAGCGUGCGCAGGCGGCUCUGCAAGACAGAUGUGAAAUCCCCGGGCUCAACCUGGGAACUGCAUUUGUGACUGCAAGGCUAGAGUACGGUAGAGGGGGAUGGAAUUCCGCGUGUAGCAGUGAAAUGCGUAGAUAUGCGGAGGAACACCGAUGGCGAAGGCAAUCCCCUGGACCUGUACUGACGCUCAUGCACGAAAGCGUGGGGAGCAAACAGG
Molecule: ribosomal RNA, 253 nt
Filed under: uncultured bacterium
Lineage: Bacteria
Description: partial 16S ribosomal RNA
Rfam family: Bacterial small subunit ribosomal RNA
Source: RNAcentral